UGAGAGAGACACUCAAGGUUGCCUUCUGGU
Molecule: non-coding RNA, 30 nt
Filed under: Mus musculus (house mouse)
Lineage: Eukaryota; Metazoa; Chordata; Mammalia; Rodentia; Muridae
Source: RNAcentral